Molecule: long non-coding RNA, 247 nt
Filed under: Homo sapiens (human)
Lineage: Eukaryota; Metazoa; Chordata; Mammalia; Primates; Hominidae
Description: HSALNT0322158
Source: RNAcentral
GCUGUGUCCUCACUUGGCCAAAGGCAGAAGAGGGAGAGAGCAAGCUUCCAGAAUGCUGCGGGAAGCUUCUUUUUUUAGGACCUUUAUCCAGUUUAGGAAAGGAGGAGUCCACAUUGCCUAAUAACCUCUCAAAAACACCACCUCCUAAUACUAUCACAUUGGCAACACUUGAAUUCAGGAGGGGACACAUUCAAAUCAUGGCAGAGAGGUAAGUACAAUCAGUCUCUACUGGGAAAUUCAGACAAGA